GGAGAAGGGAAAGGUGGGAAAGGUUUUAUUAAAAAGAGUGUUAUAAUUUUUUUUUACCAGAAAAUUAAAUCUUUGUUAAAAGCAAAUAGACAAUAAAGAAAAGAGGAGAUUUUUCUGGGGUUUGGAGAAUAGAACAAAAGAAAAGACAGAAAGUGCAACGUCAGAGUUCAGCCUUAGGGUUCCCUUUGGUUUUGUGUGGU
RNAcentral lists this unclassified non-coding RNA (200 nucleotides) under Hevea brasiliensis (rubber tree). Lineage: Eukaryota; Viridiplantae; Streptophyta; Magnoliopsida; Malpighiales; Euphorbiaceae. The record is from RNAcentral.